This 1395-nucleotide long non-coding RNA is filed under the name Canis lupus familiaris (dog). RNAcentral describes it as "lncRNA (ENSCAFG00040014216.1)". Lineage: Eukaryota; Metazoa; Chordata; Mammalia; Carnivora; Canidae. The record is from RNAcentral.
AAAAAAAAAAGGGGGUGGGUGCAGCUGAGAUGGGGGCGGUCCCGCAAAGGCAGCCUGCAGAGCCCCGGAGCGAGUCGAACCCCCGCGGCCCCCGCCCCCGCCCUCCCGCUCUCCGCCGGGGCUGCUGCAGAGGUGGUCCGUGGCAAGCCCAGGCCGGGCGCACGCCGCCGAACUCCCGAGGAGACACAAUGCCAGUCGGGUUCUCAAGUUUAUUGUUGGCGCGCCCAGGCCGGUGGGACGCGGGCUGCAGGCGGGCGCGCGGGGCGGCGGGGCCGGGUCGGGUCGGGCCGGGCCGGGCCGGGGCGCGGCCGCGGGGUCUCCUCUCCGGUAACCGCGGGCGGCCGCACACGUCAACGCUUACCUCCGAGGCCCGCAGGAGGCUUUAAAAAUGGCCUCCUGACGACACUUCCUGCUCGGAGCCGACCGGUAGGAACCCUCGCAGGAGAUGCAUCAUUUAAAACGCUGGGGGCGGGCGGAGGGGCCGGCCGGGGGCCUCCACUCGGGCCGCCGCCGCCGCCGCCGCCGCCGCCGCGGGAGGCCAGCCUGCGGGUCGCGGCGGCACAAAGGGCCCGCACCCCGCCCGCCCCCCGCCCCCCGCCCCGGGGCCCGCGCAGCCCCCCCCCCCCCCGUCCCGGGGCGCCUCUGCGUCACGACGCCCGCCGGCCAAGCCGCACGCGGGGUCGCGGCCCGCACCCCCCCCGCCCCCCCCCCCCCGGCCCGAGGCUGCCCGCCCCGUCCCGCCCCGGCGCGGCCUCGUCCGGCCCUCCCCCGCCCCCGCCCCGCGCGGCCCCCCCUCCGCGCGCGAACCCCCCCCGCCCCCGGCUCAACCACUCACCCGGCCGGCGGGGCCCGGCUCCCAGGGUAGGGGCGUCUACACCGCCGGCCGCCGGCCGCAGCCGCCUCCGCCGCCGCCGCCGCCGCCGCCGCGCCCGCUGUAGGUCCCUACUCGGGGGGGCGGAGUCGGGCCGGCGGCGCGCGUGCGCAGUGCGGGGCACAGGCUCGGCUGCGGCGCGCCCGGCGCCCGGGAUUCCCGAGGCUGCGCCCGGCCCCCGCGGGGUCUCCGCGCCGCCCGGGGAGCCGACCCGCCGCGGUCGGGGGUGCUGGGCCCCGCGCUCCGCCCAGCCCGUCCACAGCGUGCGCAGGCGGCGGCCGCAGGCUCGGAAGGAGAGCGCAGCCCCUUGCGUCGCCGCCGGGAGGAGGACCGCUCGGGAGCGCCCGCUGGGUGCAAGCCCCCAGCCGAGGGCGCGGCGGCUCCCUGCCCGCGAGGAGCUUGAAGUCCAGCCGCGACAGCGAGCGGGAGCUCGGCUCUCCAGCCUCCAGAUUCUUCCUCUUUCGAAAGCGGCAGUGAAUGACACGGCCUUGAGGCGCGUUCGAAUCCCGACUCUUGCAUCCUAG